Long non-coding RNA from Carassius gibelio (silver crucian carp), 328 nucleotides. RefSeq lists it as uncharacterized. Lineage: Eukaryota; Metazoa; Chordata; Actinopteri; Cypriniformes; Cyprinidae. The transcript is spliced from 2 exons. The record is from RefSeq and is a predicted model, not a curated record.
UGGGGAAGUCGUGGCCUAAUGGUUAGAGGGUUGGACUCCCAAUCGAAGGGUUGUGGGUUCUAGUCUCGGGCUGGAAGGAAUUGUGGGUGGGGGGAGUGCAUGUACAGUUCUCUCUCCACCUUCAAUACCACGACUUAGGUGCCCUUGAGCAAGGCAUCGAACCCCCAACUGCUCCCCGGGCGCCGCAGCAUACAUGGCUGCCCACUGCUCCGGGUGUGUGCUCACAGUGUGUGUGUGUGUGUGCAUUUCGGAUGGGUUAAAUGCAGAGCACAAAUUCUGAGUAUGGGUCACCAUACUUGGCUGAAUGUCACUUCACUUUCACUUUAAA